GUACACUCCUGCGGGAGGCAGCAGUGGGGAAUUUUGGCCAAUGGGCGAAAGCCUGAUCCAGCAAUGCCGCGUGAGUGAAGAAGGCCUUCGGGUUGUAAAGCUCUUUUGUCAGGGAAGAAACGGUGAGAGCUAAUAUCUCUUGCUAAUGACGGUACCUGAAGAAUAAGCACCGGCUAACUACGUGCCAGCAGCCGCGGUAAUACGUAGGGUGCAAGCGUUAAUUGGAAUUACUGGGCGUAAAGCGUGCGCAGGCGGUUUUGUAAGUCUGAUGUGAAAUCCCCGGGCUCAACCUGGGAAUUGCAUUGGAGACUGCAAGGCUAGAAUCUGGCAGAGGGGGGUAUAAUUCCACGUGUAGCGGUGAAAUGCGUAGAUAUGUGGAGGAACACCGAUGGCGAAGGCAGCCCCCUGGGUCAAGAUUGACGCUCAUGCACGAAAGCGUGGGGAGCAAACAGGAUUAGAAACCCCGUGUAGUCCCAUGAU
Molecule: ribosomal RNA, 480 nt
Filed under: uncultured organism
Description: partial 16S ribosomal RNA
Rfam family: Bacterial small subunit ribosomal RNA
Source: RNAcentral